UCAUUUUGCAAAUGCAGUUUCACAAGUUGCCCUGUUGAAAAUCAAAUUAGGGGUGUAACUAUUUCAAUGACUUUCUCAAAGUAACAUAACAAUAUUCACGAGAUCGUGGUAUGAAAAGUGCCUCGCUGUCCUGUCUUGGUAUAAAAUAAUGAGCCGUUGUGCCUCAAAUCUAGUUUUGGUCCGGCUAUACGGCGUGCCCAUGUGGGUAGUCACAAGAAAUACGCUGAUUGCCUGACUGGCCCACGUGACCGAAAGGCUCCGUUCGGAGGGAUGCGGAAGUAAUACGGGGUGGACAAAACGCCGCUUUGCCGGAAAUAACCGCGUGGAUGGAUGACAUUGAUCAAAAACACUUCGCCUGCAACUCGGGCGGAGCCGCCAAGCCUGUCUGAGCGGCGCUUCGCAAUCGAUUGGGCAAGAGGCGCCUUGUUCUUAGCGCCGGCCUCCGUCACAGCAAAUGCAGACCCACGGUAUCCGAGUUCAAAGGUCGCGGGUGAAAGAACAUCACACGAAUCGGGAAUACAACUUAUCCCUCAGCCAAUACAUUCCAUUCGUCCCCAAAAUGAAAUAAUAAAUAACGAAAAUAAUAACGUCAUACAAAUACAGACAUCAAUGCAAUAAUAAAUCACCUUGCAUACUUCCCUCUCUUCGAAGGGAAUGUUCACAUUUCAAAUGAAAACAUAUUACAGAUGCUGCUCAGAAUAAUCCAUCAUCUUAACAAUAUCACUAAGCGGAGGAAAAGAAACUUCGAUUCCUCUUCCUGCCUUUCUGACUUGAAUGAUUUUUGGACUUAAGCCAAGGAAUCACUGUUACUAGGCAGUAUCCAAUUUCUCAUGUUCUCAGGCAAAAAUAUGACAAUAAAUACUGUGAAAUGAAUGGACAGAUCAUUUCUCAAUGGACAGUUUUGUUAUUGUGAGCAUAGCAUGAUUAUUGCUGCAGCAAGAAUAGCAUUUUGAAGGUACAAUAUACGAAUGUAAACAUCGGACGGACGGGUUAGAAGUGCAUGGUCAUAUGUUAUUUAAACAUGUCUUUUUGAAACUACGAAAGCCUAUCAAGAAGGACUCGGCCAGAAAGAAAAGACCGCUCUUUCGGUUCUCUUGCUUUUCGCCUCUUCGAUCCGUCCUGCAAUACCGUGAGCUUUCCCACGAUAUCGCAAGAAUUAUCGGACUGUGAGAUUAAUACCGUGAUAAAACCGAACCGUGACCUAUACGUAUCGUUACAUUCCUACUAAUUACAUUUGCAUGACUUUUCUUCAUUUUGAACAAAGGCAUCAUCAGGACCACCCUUGGAUGUUUCCUCUAAAAAGUGGAUUCAACCAAUAAAUCAUUAUUUAACAAUUAAACACAAAUAAUAAACUGAUAACAAAACAUGAAAAUGUGGUUGUUGCAUUAUGUGUGGACAGUAUGUGGAAAACAAGAUACCAUGUUGACCUAAAGACAAAUGUGCACAAUUUAGACAGUAUCACUUCACAUGACAAACCAGAUAAGUGAAUGUUCCAUAAAAAAGUAAAACAAUUAUCAAGUUGAAACUGUUCAAAAGUAAAUUUUCU
Phyllopteryx taeniolatus (common seadragon) is the source of this 1546-nucleotide long non-coding RNA. RefSeq lists it as uncharacterized. Lineage: Eukaryota; Metazoa; Chordata; Actinopteri; Syngnathiformes; Syngnathidae. The record is from RefSeq and is a predicted model, not a curated record. The transcript is spliced from 2 exons.